Long non-coding RNA from Halichondria panicea, 571 nucleotides. RefSeq lists it as uncharacterized. The record is from RefSeq and is a predicted model, not a curated record. The transcript has 2 exons. NCBI's taxonomy places the organism in Eukaryota, Metazoa, Porifera, Demospongiae, Suberitida, Halichondriidae.
AUGUCUGUCUCAAAAGGACACGCAACCGCAAAAGGACGCCCUCAAAAACACGUAAGGAGGUCACUACUUGUGCAGUUGACCCUUGUGACCUCUCUCAGCUACUUAACUUGUUGGAAGGAGGUGGUUUUGAAGUUAACUGCUGACCAGAUCGCUUAGUCUGCGCACCCAGAAGAUGGAUCAGUAUUUCUAUAAACCCAAUACUGUUAAAUCCUAUCAGAGAAUAUUCCAGAUUGGAAAUGUCCCUGUUUUCCUAAAAGGAAGAACAGAUCGUUUCAUUUAUCGUUCAGCAAUGGCUCUGAGUUCUGUUGGGAUAAUAUUAACACUCGCCGGUGUUGGAAUGAUGGCAACUGGUCUGAUGAGAAAGAAAUGAACAAUUCAUUCUUCUUUAGUUAGAGUUAUUUAUAAAUUAUGUCAUUCGUGUUCAUGGCACAACCUUUUUGUUGUAUGUUCAGUGUGUAUGUUCAGUGUGUAGAAUUAUUUUGUGUACGAUGCAUGUCAAUGAUGCAACGAUCAUAUUUACCUAGUACCUAUAGCGAUAUAAUUAUUAUAAGCUGAUUAAUUUUAUUGUGAA